This 163-nucleotide unclassified non-coding RNA is filed under the name soil metagenome. RNAcentral describes it as "partial contains 5.8S ribosomal RNA, internal transcribed spacer 2, and large subunit ribosomal RNA". The record is from RNAcentral.
AACGCACGAGACCUGCGGACCUGCGGAGGGAUCAUUAACAAGUCCACAUAUGUGCGCGCUUCGGCGCCGUGCAUAUAAGCCCCGUGCAGCGAUGCACGUGUGACACAUUUUAUCGUUUGACUUAUAAAUGAGCAACAGAGAAAACUUUCAGCAAUGGAUCUCU